This 77-nucleotide transfer RNA is filed under the name Chitinophaga sancti. RNAcentral's name for it is "tRNA_His_GTG". It matches the Rfam family "tRNA". From Rfam's summary of the family: Transfer RNA (tRNA) molecules are approximately 80 nucleotides in length. Their secondary structure includes four short double-helical elements and three loops (D, anti-codon, and T loops). RNAcentral also lists the same sequence under 1 other name. Lineage: Bacteria; Pseudomonadati; Bacteroidota; Chitinophagia; Chitinophagales; Chitinophagaceae. The record is from RNAcentral.
GUGGUUGUAGCUCAGUUGGUUAGAGCACCAGAUUGUGGUUCUGGGGGUCGUGGGUUCGAACCCCAUCAUCCACCCUA